RNAcentral lists this ribosomal RNA (440 nucleotides) under uncultured bacterium. RNAcentral describes it as "partial 16S ribosomal RNA". It matches the Rfam family "Bacterial small subunit ribosomal RNA", at positions 338 to 795 of the family's 1533-position model. The record is from RNAcentral.
CCUACGGGAGGCAGCAGUAGGGAAUAUUGCUCAAUGGGGGAAACCCUGAAGCAGCAACGCCGCGUGGAGGAUGAAGGUUUUCGGAUUGUAAACUCCUUUUGUUAGAGAAGAUAAUGACGGUAUCUAACGAAUAAGCACCGGCUAACUCCGUGCCAGCAGCCGCGGGAAUACGGAGGGUGCAAGCGUUACUCGGAAUCACUGGGCGUAAAGAGCGCGUAGGCGGGAUAGCAAGUCAGAUGUGAAAUCCUAUGGCUUAACCAUAGAACUGCAUUUGAAACUGUUAUUCUAGAGUAUGGGAGAGGUAGGUGGAAUUCGUGGUGUAGGGGUAAAAUCCGUAGAGAUCAAGAGGAAUACUCAUUGCGAAGGCGACCUGCUAGAACAUAACUGACGCUGAUGCGCGAAAGCGUGGGGAGCAAACAGGAUUAGAUACCCCAGUAGUC